AGAAAAGAGCGCGUCCCUAGAAAAUAACUUGUCCUUACUAUCAAAUCCAAAUUUUGUUCGGACAUUUUAAAUUCAUUUGAUACAUGUUCAUUUGUCAAGUUUUACAUUUUUAGUCAUAUCCAUUUUUAUCGUCAAAUAAAGUCACCAUAAUCAUGCAUAUAUGCAUUAUAGUAAAAAAGUCAACAUAAAGUCAACAUUUUACAUGUUGAAGAAAUUGACUAAAAUUACAUUUUUU
This 235-nucleotide long non-coding RNA is filed under the name Lathyrus oleraceus (garden pea). RNAcentral's name for it is "Pisum sativum (pea) long non-coding RNA (PSAT_LNC001730)". Lineage: Eukaryota; Viridiplantae; Streptophyta; Magnoliopsida; Fabales; Fabaceae. The record is from RNAcentral.